GCAUUCUUUGCAGGUGCAGAGAGCCUGACCCUCAGCCAUGGCGGCAGCUGGGAAGGGGUCGUCCCGUGACAGAAGAGCGUCCAAGUGUGGGGUUCGUCGUGGCUGUCAGCUGAGUUCUCCCGGCCACCAUUGAGAGGGAGGCUCGAGGCAGAGGACGGGGCAUGUGCAUUCUCUGGACAGACACCUGGGGUAGAGCCGCUGCAUCAGCAGAUGCAGAGGCGCCUGGGGCCUCAGAGUCCCUGCAAGGCCAUGGAGCAGAGGCCUGAUCUCCCGGCCACUUAGGACAAAAGGCCCUGAAGCCCUGAGUGGGGAAACUGAGGCCUGAGAGAGCCUCCCUCUCCAGCCAGCCAGGUGAUGGGCGCUGACAUUCAGGAGCACAGAGCUUCCGGCUGUCCCCUCCAUUCUCAAGAAGAAUGUGAGCGCCAUCCCAGCCCGGCGGUCAGUAACAUUCCAGGAGCUUUGGAGAGCGUCUCCGUUGCCAGUCAAGAGCCAGGCUCCACGCACCUCAGUCCAGAAGGACCGCUCAGCCUUGGGCUAAAAAAGGGAAAAACUGCAAGCAGACAGCGUCCGCAGCCGCGUCUCCAGGCCACGGCAGGCAGCAAGGCAGCUGUGAAUGGGAAGGGCAGAGGCGGCCAAAAGCUCAUGCCCUCACUGAUGCCGGUCCUGGCUGUGCUUUCCAGAAAUUAUCCCACACAGCUCCCUGCGUCUCACGGAUCAGGCGUCCUUAGCCUGCUGUGCGGGGGGUGGGGGACACUGAGACACAGAAGGCCAGGCCCCCCAGGCACCGAGCACAGCCCACGACCCAGAGCCGUGGAGUCACCCAGGCUGCACAGCUGGCGAGAGCAGCCCCAGAUGUGGCGGAGCCUCUGGAUUCAAGGCCAGAGUUCCUGCUACACCCCCGACCCUGGGCCUGCCACGGAACGUGUCAGGAGUCGUGCUCCCUGGGCUCCUCUUCCCCACAAAGCCCCUCAUGUAUGCAUGCAUGUGUGUGUGUGCACGUUGCCCUGUCUGAGCACUGAGGAUGCCUCCGCACAGGCAUCUGCUGCCACCACUACAUGGUCUCCCAGCGGCCAGUAUGAGGAGGGCAGAGGCCACCGUCUCUGGCCCAGCAGGAUGAGGGCGCCAUGACCCCUGAGGGGUGAGCAGAGCGGGGUCUGUGUGCCUCGUGGCCCCUGGGGAAUGGGCAGAGCAGGGUCUGUGUAUAGGGUUCCUUGCUGGGCACGUGGCCAGCACUGCAGGAGCUGGCAUUGUGGCAGCCCGGACGCCCUGACCCCGGGUAGAUGUUUUUGGUGCAGCCCCACCCACGUGGCCUUAGGGUAACCCGUGUGACCACAGCCCACAGCAGGCACAAGGGAGGCCACUUCCAGACCUAGGGGGUUAGACUGUGGCUUCUGGCACCUGGAGGAGACUUGGCAGCCUGGGGGUGCCACGUGGUCGGGCUGAGGCCUCCCCACAGCCCCGUGAGCCCCGUCCUGGACAUGGGACUGCCUGUGGCUGCCACCUGAGCUGCAGCCACCAGCCACGCUGCCCCAGAGAUGGGGGAGCUAACACGUGGAGGCCUUUUUAAACUGCUAAGUUUUGGGGUUAUUUGCUACGUGGCUAUAGAUGUCUGAUACGCCGUGGGGUGUGCCCUGAAUGUGGGGUUUGGUUGGCUCUAGGUUAGUGUCAAGCUUUGGGCAGCCAGGGCGCCAAAGCCCCCACCCCUGCCGACUGUGGCCGUGCACCUGCAGGACCAUUCCACUGCUGUGUGGGCCUCGCCUCUGGACACAGGCCCCAGGACCCCGCCACUGAGGCUGGCCUGGCUCCGUGUCCUCCCACCCACUCCCGUUCAGUGCUGCCAGGCGCCGUGCCAUCUGCUGCCCACCAGGACCUGGCUCCUGGCAGGCCUUAGCCCCCUCCCCAUCUCCCUUCCCCCUCCCUGAUCGCCCCUGGGCCCAUGGGCCCAGCCUGCUGAGGGUGACUUCUUCACACCCAGACUCUGGGCUCCAGUUCCUCACCCCAUCCCUGAGACUUCCUCCUGGUCACACCUUCCUUCCAGCAGUGCUCCCAACACACAUGGCCGUUCCUGGGGAGUCUUCCAGGCAGCCCUGCCCACCAUCUCCACCCACCUCCUUCCCACCUGCUCACCACAAGGUCCUGUUCCCAGCAUACGGCCCUGCUGCUGGCCUGGGAGGAGACCUGACGCCUCCAGGGCCACUGUCAGCCUCCCUGGGACACACUGCUGCCGGGACACACUGCUGCUGGCCUCCCUUUGGAGUCCACCCUCGUCCUGUCCCCACCUGCCCCGUCCCCACCUGUCCUGUCUCCACCUGCCCCGUCCCCACCUGUCCUGCCCCCACCUGCACUAUCCUCCCACCUCUCCUGAUUCUGGUGAGCCUGUCAGGUGACAAACCCUGGCUGUCUCCUCCAUGGGGCACCUGGUGAAGCUGAGGGAGGACUCUGGGGCUGGGACUCAGUUUCCCCUCCUAGGGGCCACAAACUGGUCUGGAUGUUACAUUCAUGGGGCUGCUGAGGGAGGACAGGUCGAGGGCACCAUCUAGGGUUAGUCUUGGUCGGCUGGCAGAGGGCUGACCCAGGGAGCCCCGUCCCUCCCUGAGGGCCCCGCCUGCCCAGUACCGUGGCCCAUGGCCCGGGUUUGGCCUGUCCACCAGAUCCAGUCCUUUGGCACCCGUGUCCCUAGGGCCCUGGGCUGUGAGGAGGCGUGAAGGGGAAGGAAGGACAUUUGGAGGGGGGCCUGUCACACAUGGGAGCAUCGCUGUUGGAGAAGGUUUCCUAUAAAUGCCACUGUGUUCAUGGAUGUUCUAAGUGGCUGUGAGGAGGCGUGAAGGGGAAGGAAGGACAUUUGGAGGGGGGGCUGUCACACAUGGGAGCAUCGCUGUUGGAGAAGGUUUCCUAUAAAUGCCACUGUGUUCAUGGAUGUUCUAAAUGGAACUGCCAGCUGGCUUUUGGUUUGUGAGUCUUCAUUAAAGAUUACAUUUCUGUUC
RNAcentral lists this long non-coding RNA (2984 nucleotides) under Rhinopithecus roxellana (golden snub-nosed monkey). RNAcentral describes it as "lncRNA (ENSRROG00000045871.1)". The record is from RNAcentral. Lineage: Eukaryota; Metazoa; Chordata; Mammalia; Primates; Cercopithecidae.